RNAcentral lists this unclassified non-coding RNA (375 nucleotides) under uncultured Rubrobacterales bacterium. RNAcentral's name for it is "contains 16S-23S intergenic spacer region". The record is from RNAcentral. Lineage: Bacteria; Bacillati; Actinomycetota; Rubrobacteria; Rubrobacterales.
UCCGAGUUGACCCCGGCAGUCUCCCAUGAGUCCCCAACUUAAUGCUGGCAACACGCCACGGGGGUUGCGCUCGUUGCGGGACUUAACCCAACAUCUCACGACACGAGCUGACGACAGCCAUGCAGCAUCUGUGGUGCACCCUCGAAGGUCACACGUUUCCGUGCGCUUGCAGCACCAUGUCAAGUCCAGGUAAGGUUCUUCGCGUUGCAUCGAAUUAAAGAACAUGCUCCGCUGCUUGUGCGGGCCCCCGUCAAUUCUUUUGAGUUUUAGCCUUGCGGCCGUACUCCCCAGGCGGAACACUUAACGCGUUGGCUUCGGCACAGGGGGAUUCGACUCCCCCCACACCUAGUGUUCAUCGUUUACGGCAUGGACUAC